RNAcentral lists this non-coding RNA (86 nucleotides) under Pseudomonas poae. Lineage: Bacteria; Pseudomonadati; Pseudomonadota; Gammaproteobacteria; Pseudomonadales; Pseudomonadaceae. The record is from RNAcentral.
GUGGGAGGGGGCUUGCCCCCGAUAGCGGUGGAUCAGUUACAGAUAGAUCAACUGACCGUCCUCAUCGGGGGCAAGCCCCCUCCCAC